Non-coding RNA from Caenorhabditis elegans, 137 nucleotides. The record is from Ensembl. NCBI's taxonomy places the organism in Eukaryota, Metazoa, Nematoda, Chromadorea, Rhabditida, Rhabditidae.
UGAUCGUGUCUGCGGAAGGAGCACACGGAGAACAAGAUGAAUAAAAAAGAGAGAAAAGAAUGAAGUGAGGCGAGAAAAAUUGAAUUUGAACAAGCGCCCAAAUCAAACAGGUGGGCGGAGUCUAACAGCAAGACACA